RNAcentral lists this unclassified non-coding RNA (344 nucleotides) under soil metagenome. RNAcentral describes it as "partial contains 5.8S ribosomal RNA, internal transcribed spacer 2, and large subunit ribosomal RNA". The stretch from base 1 to 120 matches the Rfam family "5.8S ribosomal RNA", at positions 35 to 154 of the family's 154-position model. The record is from RNAcentral.
GAUGAAGAACGUAGCGAAAUGCGAUAAGUAAUGUGAAUUGCAGAAUUCAGUGAAUCAUCGAAUCUUUGAACGCACAUUGCGCCCGCCAGUAUUCUGGCGGGCAUGCCUGUUCGAGCGUCAUUUCCACCUUCAGGCCCCCGGGCCUGUGUUGGGGACCUGCGGCUGCCCGCAGGCCCCGAAAUUCAGUGGCGGUCGCGCCGUAGCAACCGAGCGUAGUAACUAAAACGUCUCGCUCUGGCUCGCUGGGCGCGCUCCGGCCGUAAGACACCCCCCCUUUUCGCAAAGGUUGACCUCGGAUCAGGUAGGAAUACCCGCUGAACUUAAGCAUAUCAAUAAGCGGAGGA